UACGUAGGGGGCAAGCGUUGUCCGGAUUUAUUGGGCGUAAAGCGCGCGCAGGCGGCCUGACGAGCCCGGCGUGAAAGCCCCCGGCUCAACCGGGGGAGGUCGUCGGGGACCGCCAGGCUGGAGGCCGGUAGGGGAGAGCGGAAUUCCCGGUGUAGUGGUGGAAUGCGUAGAUAUCGGGAGGAACACCAGUGGCGAAGGCGGCUCUCUGGACCGGUCCUGACGCUCAGGCGCGAAAGCGUGGGGAGCGAUCCGG
Molecule: ribosomal RNA, 253 nt
Filed under: uncultured bacterium
Lineage: Bacteria
Description: partial 16S ribosomal RNA
Rfam family: Bacterial small subunit ribosomal RNA
Source: RNAcentral